AGCAGCCGCGGCAAUUCCAGCUCCAAUAGCGUAUAUUAAAGUUGUUGCAGUUAAAAAGCUCGUAGUUGAACUUCGAAAUUUGUUCAUUGGUCAGGCUUAACUGUCUGUACUGGUGUUACGAAUUUCUACCUUCUGAGGAAUCCUCAUGCCAUUAAUUUGGUGCGGGGGGAAUCAGGACUGUUACUUUGAAAAAUUAGAGUGUUUAAAGCAGGCUAACGUCUGAAUACAUUAGCAUGGAAUAAUAAAAUAGGACGGUUUGGUUCUAUUUUGUUGGUUUCUAGGAUCACCGUAAUGAUUAAUAGGGAUAGUUGGGGGCAUUAGUAUUCAAUUGUCAGAGGUGAAAUUCUUGGAUUUAUUGAAGACUAACUACUGCG
This 374-nucleotide ribosomal RNA is filed under the name uncultured Glomeromycotina. RNAcentral describes it as "SSU rRNA". It matches the Rfam family "Eukaryotic small subunit ribosomal RNA", at positions 569 to 947 of the family's 1831-position model. Lineage: Eukaryota; Fungi; Glomeromycota. The record is from RNAcentral.